AAAUAAUUGGGUAUUGGUUUUACUGUUUAUCAAAAACAUAGUUUAUAAUUUUAUAGAUGAUUUCUGCUCAAUGAUUAAUAAAUAGCUGCAGUAAUCUGACCGUACUAAGGUAGCAUAAUCAUUAGUUUCUUAAUAAGAAACUGGAAUGAAGGAAUUUAAGGAUCAUUUAAUUUUCAAUAGUUUUUAGAAGUUAUAUUUAGAGUGAAAAUACUCUUUUGUAAGAAUUAGACGAUAAGACCCUAUAAAUUUUAAACUAAAGUUUUGUUUGGGGUAAAUAUAACUAUUAUAUAAUUGUUUGUGAGAAUUACUUUAGGGUUAACAGGGUAAUAACUAUAUUAAGAUCUUAUUAAUUUAGUUGUUUACUACCUCGAUGUUGGAUCAUUAUACUAAUAAAGUAGAGUUUAUUAAUUUUAGUCUGUUAGACUAUCAAAUUUUACGUGAUCUGAGUUUAGACCGAUGUGAAUUAGGUUAGAUUUUAUCUAUUUGAUUGAUAAUGUAGUACGAAAGGAAUGUUGAUUUUAUUAUUAAU
Molecule: ribosomal RNA, 529 nt
Filed under: Rotaria rotatoria
Lineage: Eukaryota; Metazoa; Rotifera; Eurotatoria; Philodinida; Philodinidae
Description: large subunit ribosomal RNA
Rfam family: Bacterial large subunit ribosomal RNA
Source: RNAcentral